This 1483-nucleotide ribosomal RNA is filed under the name Mycolicibacterium senegalense. RNAcentral's name for it is "16S ribosomal RNA". It matches the Rfam family "Bacterial small subunit ribosomal RNA". RNAcentral also lists the same sequence under 2 other names. Lineage: Bacteria; Bacillati; Actinomycetota; Actinomycetes; Mycobacteriales; Mycobacteriaceae. The record is from RNAcentral.
UAGAGUUUGAUCCUGGCUCAGGACGAACGCUGGCGGCGUGCUUAACACAUGCAAGUCGAACGGAAAGGCCCUUCGGGGUACUCGAGUGGCGAACGGGUGAGUAACACGUGGGUGAUCUGCCCUGCACUUUGGGAUAAGCCUGGGAAACUGGGUCUAAUACCGGAUAGGACCACGCGCUUCAUGGUGUGUGGUGGAAAGCUUUUGCGGUGUGGGAUGGGCCCGCGGCCUAUCAGCUUGUUGGUGGGGUAAUGGCCUACCAAGGCGACGACGGGUAGCCGGCCUGAGAGGGUGACCGGCCACACUGGGACUGAGAUACGGCCCAGACUCCUACGGGAGGCAGCAGUGGGGAAUAUUGCACAAUGGGCGCAAGCCUGAUGCAGCGACGCCGCGUGAGGGAUGACGGCCUUCGGGUUGUAAACCUCUUUCAAUAGGGACGAAGCGCAAGUGACGGUACCUAUAGAAGAAGGACCGGCCAACUACGUGCCAGCAGCCGCGGUAAUACGUAGGGUCCGAGCGUUGUCCGGAAUUACUGGGCGUAAAGAGCUCGUAGGUGGUUUGUCGCGUUGUUCGUGAAAACUCACAGCUUAACUGUGGGCGUGCGGGCGAUACGGGCAGACUAGAGUACUGCAGGGGAGACUGGAAUUCCUGGUGUAGCGGUGGAAUGCGCAGAUAUCAGGAGGAACACCGGUGGCGAAGGCGGGUCUCUGGGCAGUAACUGACGCUGAGGAGCGAAAGCGUGGGGAGCGAACAGGAUUAGAUACCCUGGUAGUCCACGCCGUAAACGGUGGGUACUAGGUGUGGGUUUCCUUCCUUGGGAUCCGUGCCGUAGCUAACGCAUUAAGUACCCCGCCUGGGGAGUACGGCCGCAAGGCUAAAACUCAAAGGAAUUGACGGGGGCCCGCACAAGCGGCGGAGCAUGUGGAUUAAUUCGAUGCAACGCGAAGAACCUUACCUGGGUUUGACAUGCACAGGACGCCGGCAGAGAUGUCGGUUCCCUUGUGGCCUGUGUGCAGGUGGUGCAUGGCUGUCGUCAGCUCGUGUCGUGAGAUGUUGGGUUAAGUCCCGCAACGAGCGCAACCCUUGUCUCAUGUUGCCAGCACGUUAUGGUGGGGACUCGUGAGAGACUGCCGGGGUCAACUCGGAGGAAGGUGGGGAUGACGUCAAGUCAUCAUGCCCCUUAUGUCCAGGGCUUCACACAUGCUACAAUGGCCGGUACAAAGGGCUGCGAUGCCGUGAGGUGGAGCGAAUCCUUUCAAAGCCGGUCUCAGUUCGGAUCGGGGUCUGCAACUCGACCCCGUGAAGUCGGAGUCGCUAGUAAUCGCAGAUCAGCAACGCUGCGGUGAAUACGUUCCCGGGCCUUGUACACACCGCCCGUCACGUCAUGAAAGUCGGUAACACCCGAAGCCGGUGGCCUAACCCUUGUGGAGGGAGCCGUCGAAGGUGGGAUCGGCGAUUGGGACGAAGUCGUAACAAGGUAGCCGUA